ACGUAGGGGGCAAGCGUUGUCCGGAAUUAUUGGGCGUAAAGGGCGCGUAGGCGGCCUGGUAAGUCUGGAGUGAAAGUCCUGCUUUUAAUGUGGGAAUUGCUUUGGAUACUGUCGGGCUUGAGUGCAGGAGAGGUAAGUGGAAUUCCCGGUAUGGCGGUGUAAUGGGGAGAGACCGGGGGGGACACGAGUAGGGGAGGGGAGCAAACAGGAUGUAAUUGACGAUGAGUCGCGAGAGUGAGGACCGCAAACAU
Molecule: ribosomal RNA, 251 nt
Filed under: uncultured prokaryote
Description: partial 16S rRNA
Rfam family: Bacterial small subunit ribosomal RNA
Source: RNAcentral